GGACAGCCUCCGAACCCGGGCGGGACAGGAUCCCGACGUCGGGAUCCGCAGAGGUGCGCUUAGGUUUGGCGAGGGCUGAGGUCACUGAGAGACCUCUUGGAGGAACGAGUACGCACGCUGGCGAAGCUGAGGAGAAUUUACCGUGGUGGUACGAGGGAUAUUUUGAAUGAACGGGAGCUGCCUGUCCCAGCAGCCAGCUGUGAGCCAAGAAGCCCCAGAGCCAUGAGAGGAUGCCUUAAGACAAUGAACAAGAUGAGAAGCUGAUCUACAGGUAAGGAGAGCCAUUUGUAAGCUCUACCUGUAAACAGGCUUUACCUGUUUACCUAACUAUCUCUCUAGGGGCAGCAAGCUGAGUUUUACCCUGCUUCCAAAAGAAUCAGAAAAGCACAAAGAACUUUCAUCUCAUUUGCUUCCAGAUAUAAUCCUGCUCAGCAUCAGUCAAGCUUCACAAAAGAAAACAAACACAGGACAAAAUGUGAAUAUGACAAAAUAUGAGUAGUCACCUAAACAAAUAUCAUAAUGCAAAAAUAAAGAAAAUGGCUUAGCCUUUUUGUGAGCUAAUUACAGCAUUUUUAUUAGGAAAAGGAAGAGUAGAAAAUGUUCAGCUGUGAUCACUGAUUUCACAAAGAUAUCUUGCUAGGUUUCAAGGUGUGAUAAGGGUAUGGCAGCCACGGGUUUCAUAUCCCUUCAAGAGCCCCUGCCUAUGUCUCCAGUCCUUUCCAUCAUGGCAAUAUUAUAGGUCCCAUCAGUAGUCCACCCCUUGAGCAUCCAGCACACAGAGACAAGUAUACAGGUUUCCUCUUUAUCUGACAUGAUACAGCUGAACACCAAGGUCUUGGAAGGUAAGAUAGCUGAGGUAUAAAGUGAAAAGAACCAUGGGGUAGCAGUAUGUCUUCAUCCAUGGUGUCUGACUUCUGAGAUGUUUGACUUAAUCUUAUAGCAACCAGCUUUACCCUAUCAAAGUAAACUUCCACAGAAUUGGCAUGUACCUUCGGGCCUAGAGGAAAAGCUUUAUUUUCUGAAUUACACAGGAAAUACAGUUAUCAUUGCCAUUUCCGGUCACCUAUUCUUUACAGAUGCACUCUGCCUCUUGACCUACAUAAAAAAGAAAAUAGUCACUCUUCCCUUUUGUCUCUCAUCCAGAAAGCUAGGCUUUCUGCUUUUCCCUAACCCAUCAGGCCACUAUUGAUCCUGAGGCUUAGUGUCCAUUGUCACAGAUCAUCAUAAUGAAGCCUGCCUCACUUGUUUAGUUAAUUCCUCAGCCUCUGAUUAUUUGAAUUUGUAAGUCCUGUUUAAAUCCUCAACAAGCAAAAGAUUCAAGUCACACCCACUGAUGAUGAUUGCCAAACAAACAAAAAAAAUCACAGUUGUUGAUAAGGAUAUGGAGAAACUAGAACUUUUGUGCAGUACUGGUAAGGAUAUAAAGUGAUGCAUCUAUUAUAAAAACAGGAUGGCAGUUAAUCAAAAAAUUAAAAAUAGAAUUACUAUAUGGCCCAGCAAUUCCACUUUUGGUUAUAGCCCCAAAAGAACUAAAAGCAAGGACUUGGGCAAAUAUUUGUACAUGUAUAUUCAUAAUAGCCUUCUCUGCAAUAGAAAAAAAAGUAAGAGCAGUGUGAUGUAUGCAUACAAUGGAAUAUUAGUGGACAUGAAAAAGGAAAUUCUGCUACAUGCCAUAACAUAGAUGAAUUUUGAGGACAUUAUGCUAAGUGAAAUAAGCCAGUCACAAAAGAAUAAAUGCUCUAUGAUUCCACUUGUGUAAAGUACUUAGAGUAGUCAACUUCAGAAACAUGCAAUAGAAUCAUAAUUGUAGGGCUGAAGGUAGGGGAAAUAGGGAGAUAUUGUUUAGCAUGUACAGUUUCAGUUUUCAAGAUGAAAAAGUUCUAGAAAUAGAUGGUAGAAAUGGUUGCACAACAAUGUGGAUGUACUUACUGCCACUGAAUUGUAUGCUUAAAAAUGGUUAAGAUGGUAAUUUUUAUGUUAUGUGUAUUUUACCACAAUUUUAAUGAGAAAGUUCUCAGGAUUUAUAUCACUUUCUUGAAAAAGUAAUGAAUUUACAUCUGAACUAUGCCACUUACCUGUGCUUUGAUCUCACACCACAAUUCUACUUUUUAAAAAAUCUAUUGGCUAUGAAUGCAAGAGUGUUUGUGUGUGUGUGUGUGUGUGUGUGUGUGUGUGUGUAAGAAUUAUGUAAGUAUCUGUUGUGAAGUAAAUGGCAAACUACAUUCCAAAGGGGGUAAAUAUUAUGGGAAUGCUACACAUAAGUGGAAAAUCUGCAAGGAGUUGUGAUCACUUGUAAUAGAGAUAACAGGAAAUUUUUAUGGAGGAUCCAGCAUUUGAGUUGAACUUCAGAGAAUUGGCAGAAUUUAGAAUGGUGCAGAUACUGGAGGCAUCUGAAGCAGAGGGAGAGGCCUAUGUAUAUGUGCACCCAUAUUUAUAGCGGCACAGUUUGUAAUAGCUAAAACUUGAAAACAGUUCAAUCGCCCAUCAACUGGAGACUGGAUAAAGAAGAUUUUUUUUUUAUAAAAUGAAUACUACUCAGCCAUAAAGAAUGAGAAAUUAGAGACAUUUAUAGCUAAAUGGAUGCACAUUGAGGCCAUACUCUUAAGUGAAAUAAAUAGGACACCCAUGUGUAAAUACUAAAUAGUUUCUAUGGUGUGAGAAACUGAAAGUGUAAAUAAGGAUCAAGAUGUAUAAUAGAUAAUGUGAAAUAGGAAGAUAAGGCCCAAAGGGUAAGGGGAAGUGGGAGGGGUAGGGGAAAGGAAAGUAAUAAAUAUGAGAAAAUGAAAAAAUGGAAAGAAAGUCUUUGUAAAUAGGGA
RNAcentral lists this long non-coding RNA (2816 nucleotides) under Heterocephalus glaber (naked mole-rat). Its description in RNAcentral is "lncRNA (ENSHGLG00100041043.1)". The record is from RNAcentral. Lineage: Eukaryota; Metazoa; Chordata; Mammalia; Rodentia; Bathyergidae.